RNAcentral lists this ribosomal RNA (511 nucleotides) under uncultured archaeon. Its description in RNAcentral is "bacterial SSU rRNA". It matches the Rfam family "Archaeal small subunit ribosomal RNA", at positions 346 to 859 of the family's 1478-position model. The record is from RNAcentral.
ACCUCUGCAAUAGGCGAAAGCCUGACAGGGUUACUCUGAGUGACUUUCGCUAAGAAAGUCUUUUGACACCUCUAAAAAUGGUGUAGAAUAAGGGGUGGGCAAGUCUGGUGUCAGCCGCCGCGGUAAUACCAGCACCCCGAGUGGUCGGGACGAUUAUUGGGCCUAAAGCAUCCGUAGCCGGCCUUACAAGUCCCCCGUUAAAUCCAACUGCUUAACAGAUGGGCUGCGGAGGAUACUAUAAGACUAGGAGGCAGGAGAGGCAAGCGGUACUCAGUGGGUAGGGGUAAAAUCCGUUGAUCCAUUGAAGACCACCAGUGGCGAAGGCGGCUUGCCAGAAUGCGCUCGACGGUGAGGGAUGAAAGCUGGGGGAGCAAACCGGAUUAGAUACCCGGGUAGUCCCAGCUGUAAACGAUGCAGACUCGGUGAUGGACUAGCUUAAUGCUAGUCCAGUGCCGCAGGGAAGCCGUUAAGUCUGCCGCCUGGGUAGUACGGUCGCAAGACUGAAACUUAA